GAUGAAGAACGCAGCGAAAUGCGAUAAUUAAUGUGAAUUGCAGAAUUUAGAAUCAUCGAGUCUUUGAACGCACAUUGCGCCCCCUGGUAUUCCGGGGGGCAUGCCUGUCCGAGCGUCAUUGCUGCCCUCAAGCACGGCUUGUGUGUUGGGCUUCCGUCCCUGGCAACGGGGACGGGCCCAAAAGGCAGUGGCGGCACCAUGUCUGGUCCUCGAGCGUAUGGGGCUUUGUCACCCGCUCCCGUAGGUCCAGCUGGCAGCUAGCCUCGCAACCAAUCUUUUUAACCAGGUUGACCUCGGAUCAGGUAGGGAUACCCGCUGAACUUAAGCAUAUCAAUAAGCGGAGGA
This 345-nucleotide unclassified non-coding RNA is filed under the name soil metagenome. RNAcentral's name for it is "partial contains 5.8S ribosomal RNA, internal transcribed spacer 2, and large subunit ribosomal RNA". The stretch from base 1 to 118 matches the Rfam family "5.8S ribosomal RNA", at positions 35 to 154 of the family's 154-position model. The record is from RNAcentral.